Molecule: ribosomal RNA, 497 nt
Filed under: uncultured bacterium
Lineage: Bacteria
Description: partial 16S ribosomal RNA
Rfam family: Bacterial small subunit ribosomal RNA
Source: RNAcentral
GAUGAACGCUGGCGGCGUGCCUAAUACAUGCAAGUCGAGCGAACGGACGAGAAGCUUGCUUCUCUGAUGUUAGCGGCGGACGGGUGAGUAACACGUGGAUAACCUACCUAUAAGACUGGGAUAACUUCGGGAAACCGGAGCUAAUACCGGAUAAUAUUUUGAACCGCAUGGUUCAAAAGUGAAAGACGGUCUUGCUGUCACUUAUAGAUGGAUCCGCGCUGCAUUAGCUAGUUGGUAAGGUAACGGCUUACCAAGGCAACGAUGCAUAGCCGACCUGAGAGGGUGGUCGGCCACACUGGAACUGAGACACGGUCCAGACUCCUACGGGAGGCAGCAGUAGGGAAUCUUCCGCAAUGGGCGAAAGCCUGACGGAGCAACGCCGCGUGAGUGAUGAAGGUCUUCGGAUCGUAAAACUCUGUUAUUAGGGAAGAACAUAUGUGUAAGUAACUGUGCACAUCUUGACGGUACCUAAUCAGAAAGCCGCGGCUAACUACGUG